GAUUUCUCAGAAGGGACAAAUUGGGAUAACAUUGAACACUGCAUGGGUAAUUCCACUUUCCCAGUCAAAGGCAGAUAUUGAUGCAGCAUCUAGGUCCCUUGCUUUCCAAUAUGGCUGGGAACUUCUCCAUCUUAUUCUUUUUGUUUUUUGGCUUCACAUUAAUUGCUGUGGUUAUGGUUUAUAUAGACUUAAGACCUGGUUUCGAAUAGCUUAUUUGAGUUUAUCUUCUAACAUAAGCGCUUAUACUUUGACUAUACUUUGACUAUACUUAUGAAAAAAAAUUAUAACUUACCUAUAAGUUUGUGUCAAGCUUAUUUUUAUAAGGAGAUCAUAUUAUCAUAUAAAUAAGGGCUUAUACUUACAUAUAAGCUAUUUUGACUUUAUUUCACUAAGUUUCUCAAAUUAGCUUUGAAUAAACUUUUGUGCAACAAGCACUUAUUGCCACGAGUACUUAAAUAAGCUGUUUAUCCAAAAUCACCCCAUGUUAUUUUUCUGAUAGACCUAACCCAAUUUAUUUCUUGACUUGCCAGGUUUAUGGAGCCACUAAAAUCUGGAUCAUACCCUAUUGAAAUGGUCAAUAAUGUUGGCAGAAGAUUGCCAACAUUUUCAAGGGAACAAUCCUUGAUGGUUAAAGGGUCCUUUGAUUUCAUAGGAGUUAACUAUUACUCUGC
This 671-nucleotide long non-coding RNA is filed under the name Lotus japonicus. RNAcentral's name for it is "long non-coding RNA (LJAP_LNC001518)". The record is from RNAcentral. Lineage: Eukaryota; Viridiplantae; Streptophyta; Magnoliopsida; Fabales; Fabaceae.